UACGGAGGGUGCAAGCGUUAUCCGGAUUUACUGGGUUUAAAGGGUGUGUAGGCGGACUUUUAAGUCCGUGGUGAAAUCUCCGGGCUCAACCCGGAAACUGCCAUGGAUACUAUUUGUCUUGAAUAUUGUUGAGGUGGGCGGAACGGGUCAUGUAGCGGUGAAAUGCUUAGAUAUGACAUAGAACACCAAUUGCGAAGGCAGCUCACUACACAAAGAUUGACACUGAGGCACGAAAGCGUGGGGAUCAAACAGG
RNAcentral lists this ribosomal RNA (253 nucleotides) under uncultured bacterium. RNAcentral's name for it is "partial 16S ribosomal RNA". It matches the Rfam family "Bacterial small subunit ribosomal RNA", at positions 524 to 776 of the family's 1533-position model. The record is from RNAcentral.